Impatiens glandulifera is the source of this 647-nucleotide long non-coding RNA. RefSeq lists it as uncharacterized. Lineage: Eukaryota; Viridiplantae; Streptophyta; Magnoliopsida; Ericales; Balsaminaceae. The record is from RefSeq and is a predicted model, not a curated record. The transcript has 3 exons.
UUUUUGUAGGAUGUCUACAUCUACACCUGUUUAUCGUGGACGUGGAAAAAACAAACAAUUUUGGACUGAUGAUGAGGUUGAUGCUUUGAUUGAUGCCCUCCAAGAGUUAGCUUGUGAUCCUUUAUGGAAAGUAGACUCUGGAUUUAAGAACAAUUACAUGGAAGCAAGUACAAUCCCAUUGCGGAGAUGUGUAUGCAAAGUGGUUGUCAGUGGGAUGAGGUUGAGCAUAAGAUCAAAUGUGAAAAACAGUGGUUUGAUGAAUGGUGUCUGGUAAGACGUUAUAAACUCUCUUCGAUUAUUUAUUGAGCGUUUACUUUGGUAGUUCUUUCUAUUUAUUUUUACAUAUUCUGAAUGUUAUGUUAUUUUAUUUUGUAUAGACUCACCCAAAUGCCAUUGGGUUGCGGGAUUUUACAUUCCCAUAUUUGCGUAAACUAGACAUGGUGUGGGGUAAAGAUAGGGCAACAGGGCUCGGAGCUGAAGAUAUAUUUGACGCAAGCAUGGAUCCUAGUUAGCAAAAGAAUGUGAUUGUGAAUUCUUCAUCGGAUGGUGAAGAUGAACCCGUUGUCGUCUCUCACUCACAAGGCUCACGUACAAUUUCAUCAAACAACAAAUCAUCCAAGAAAAGAAACAAACUUUCACCGAGAAGG